GGUUACAGCACCUUGGCUGGUCUUGGAAAGCUAAGCAGGAUCAUACUGAUUGGUAUUGGGAUAGGAGACCACCAGGAAAUCCCAGAGCUGUAGCCU
Molecule: ribosomal RNA, 96 nt
Filed under: Salvator merianae (Argentine black and white tegu)
Lineage: Eukaryota; Metazoa; Chordata; Lepidosauria; Squamata; Teiidae
Source: RNAcentral